RNAcentral lists this ribosomal RNA (455 nucleotides) under uncultured bacterium. RNAcentral's name for it is "bacterial SSU rRNA". It matches the Rfam family "Bacterial small subunit ribosomal RNA", at positions 30 to 478 of the family's 1533-position model. The record is from RNAcentral.
AUUGAACGCUGGCGGAAUGCUUUACACAUGCAAGUCGAACGGCAGCACGGACUUCGGUCUGGUGGCGAGUGGCGAACGGGUGAGUAACAUAUCGGAACGUAUCCAAUAAUGGGGGAUAACUAAUCGAAAGGUUGGCUAAUACCGCAUACGCCCUACGGGGGAAAGCUAGGGAUCUUCGGACCUGGCGUUAAUGGAGCGGCCGAUAUCUGAUUAGCUAGUUGGUGGGGUAAAGGCCCACCAAGGCGACGAUCAGUAGCUGGUCUGAGAGGACGACCAGCCACACUGGAACUGAGACACGGUCCAGACUCCUACGGGAGGCAGCAGUGGGGAAUUUUGGACAAUGGGCGCAAGCCUGAUCCAGCCAUUCCGCGUGAGUGAAGAAGGCCUUCGGGUUGUAAAGCUCUUUCGCAAGGGAAGAAAACUUAUCCUCUAACAUAGGAUGAGGUUGACGGUAC